Molecule: long non-coding RNA, 4767 nt
Organism: Carassius auratus (goldfish)
Lineage: Eukaryota; Metazoa; Chordata; Actinopteri; Cypriniformes; Cyprinidae
Source: Ensembl
AUGCCUAAUGUUGAAAAUGAGUCUGAAAAAGAGAAAAUGCCUGUUAAAUUAACAGCUAAGGCUUUAAUGGAAAAACUUGACACUUUGCAAAAAUUAAGAAAGGCUAAAUUAAACAAGGCUCAGAAACUAAAUGAGUCAAUUAACAGGUUAAUCCAUGAAAACAAAGAAUAUGAACCUGAGGUACGAUUGCCUUUUGAAGAGUUUAUGAGGUUAUGUUCAGAGGCUACAGAAGCACAUGAGUCACUGUUGGUUAUCUUACCUGUUGAUGAAGCUGAAAAACAUGAAAUAUGGUUUAAAGCCAAAAUGAUACCAAAUAAUGAGUUAAUUGAACGGGUGAACAAAUGGUUAUCAGAUACAGAAAAAGGUCAGAAAAGCUCUGAAGUGGCUGAAGUUUGUAGUGAUGUUAAUCCUGGAGAUAGUGUCUCAAACGUGUCUCAUGCUACCUCUAAAUGUAGUAAACGCAGCUCACACCGCAGUUCAUCUAUAUCAUCUACAUGCAUUCAAGCAGAGGCAGAAAAGGCUGCACUUAUGGCACAAGCUGCUGCAUUGAAGGCCAAGCAUGCAAUUGAAGCUCAGGAGGAGGAUUUGAGACAGAAAAAGGAACAAUUGGAGUUGGAUGCUCAAAUAGCAGCUUCAACUGCAAAGAUCGCUGUGUUGCAAAGGUCUGAUAAUCAAAGCAAAUGUUCACGUAAUUCAAGGUCAAAAUCAAGUGAGAUUAAUACAACUGAUAAACUCAAGUUUGAUUCUUCUCGGCCAAAGGUUCUUAAUCCCAAUGCAAAUAAACAUGUACCAUUGAAUUCAAUGCCAAUAAAUAUAGCUGGAGCAGCUGAUGUCUCUGCAUCUCGAGUCAUACCAGAGAAUCAAAGGAGAGGAUGGAGAAAUCAACAAAUAUUCCACACUGCGCAGUCUGAUUUCCAAUAUUCUGCUCAAGUGCAACAAAGCAAUAUGGGAGUUGAUCAGAUGUCACAUGUUCUUCCUCCUCAUGGUGAUCCACUGCUUGAAGUCUUAAAAACACAAGAAGAGUUAACAUCUUAUCUCAUUCAACAGCAAGGAAAUCCUCGUAUUCUACCAAAAAGAGAGAUCCCAGUUUUUGAUGGUGACCCAUUGCAGUAUAUUGCAUUUAUGAGAGCGUUUGAACAUGGCAUUGAAGAGAAAACUGAAAAUGAAAAGGAUCGUUUGUAUUUUCUUGAGCAGUUCACAAGGGGGCAGCCUAAAGAUCUGGUCCGUAGUUGCCAGCAUAUGGCCCCAGAAAGAGGCCAUGCAUUGGCCAAAAGAUUAUUAAAAGAACAUUUUGGUAAUGAAUUCAAGGUAUCUACUGCCUAUCUGGAGAAAGCCUUGGGCUGGCCCACUGUAAGGGCAGAGGAUAUGCAAGGAUUACAGGCUUAUGCUUUGUUUUUGCGUACAUGUUGCAAUACUAUGGAUGAACUUACAUACAUGCAAGAACUUAACAUGCCUAGCAACAUGAAGAUUGUUGUAACAAAGUUACCUUACAAGCUGAGAGAGCAGUGGAGGGCUCAGGCUUGUGAGAUUAUGGAGUCCAGUCAAGGCAGAGCAAAAUUCUCUCACAUUGUUGAGUUUAUUGAAAAACAGGUCAAGGUGGCAUCUGAUCCUGUGUUUGGAGAUAUCCAGGACAAACAGGGCACAGGUAAAUUCAAAUCCCAAGUGCGCAAGACUCUUAGAGGGAACAGUUUUGCCACUGAUGUUGCUGUUUCAAUUCCAACUAAGACUAACACUGGGUCAAUACAGCAAAGACACUGCUCUUUAUCUAAGUCUAAUGGAAACUGUUUGUUCUGUGCAAAUCAACAUACAUUGGAAAGAUGUUUUGCUUUGAAGAGGACGACUCAACGAGAAAAGAUUGAGUUCUUGAAAUCCAAGGGAAUUUGUUUUGGUUGUCUAAAGACGGGACAUAUGAGUAAGGAAUGUGACAAUCGUUUGAUUUGUGAGGUUUGUGGAGAAGUGCAUCCAACUAUCCUGCAUAUAUAUCGUAAGGAGGUAACUGGGAAACAGUUGGAGGAAAGGUGUGACGUAGUGUCUGCUAAAACUUGUGUUCUUACAGGGGCCGGUAACGAGAGGAGUUUAAUGCCAAUCUUACCAGUUCAGGUGAAAGCUAUAAAAGGUAACAAUGUGAUACAUACCUAUGCUUUUCUGGACCCGGGAAGCUCCGCUACUUUUUGUUCAGAACAUCUAAUGGAAGUGUUGAAGUUGAACGGAAAGAGGGUUAACAUUCCGCUACGUACCAUGGGUCAGGAAAAGUCUGUCUCCUCUAAUGUUAUUGAUGGACUGGAAAUCAGUGGAAUAAAUACUAACCAUUUCUUCCCUCUUCCUGCUGUAUAUACGCAGCAGAACAUGCCUGUUGACUCUGGAAAUAUCAUUACUCAGGAGGAGUUAUCCAAAUGGUCAUACUUGGAUAAGGUUAAGAUACCACACAUUCAAGCAGGUGUUGAUUUAUUGAUUGGAACUAAUGCAGCUAAUGUGAUUGAGCCAUAUGAAAUUAUAAACAGUCAUGGUAAUGGGCCAUUUGCCAUUAAAACCCUACUGGGAUGGGUUGUUAAUGGGACUUUGGAGGAAAAUGGGGACCACAAGAAUGAAGCUGGGCAUUCUGCGGUUACUGUUAACAGAAUUUCUGUUGUUAAAUUGGAGGAGUUGCUCAAUAAUCAGUUCAAUUAUGAUUUCAGCGAAAGGACUGCUGAUAAAGAAGAAAUGUCAAGGGAAGAUCUUCGGUUUGUGGACAUAAUGAACCGCACUGUCAUGCUCCAGGUUGGACAUUAUAGCCUACAGUUGCCAUUCAAGACUGGUAAUGUCAUGUUACCUAACAACUUCUGUCUUGCUAGGCAACGAUUAAAUGGCCUGAAAAGGAAACUGGAAAGAGACAAAGGGUUUCAUGAAAAGUACUCUCAUUUUCUUGCUGAUGUUGUCCUUAAAGGUUAUGCAGAGAAGGUACCAUCUAACCAACUAGAUCGUGAGGAUGGCAAAGUUUGGUACAUUCCUCAUCAUGGGGUGUUUCAUCCCAAGAAGGGAUCAUUGAGGGUUGUGUUUGACUGUGGGGCAACAUACAAAGGAACCUCACUUAAUAGUCAAUUGUUGCAAGGCCCUAACCUUACCAAUUCUUUGGUAGGUGUGCUGAUGAGAUUCAGGCAAGAGCCAGUAGCCUUCAUGGCUGACAUUGAAGCAAUGUUUUAUCAAGUUAAAGUGGCUGAAGAAGAGGUGGAUUUUCUUCGGUUCUUGUGGUGGCCUGAUGGAAAUUUGACAAGAGAGCCCAUUGUAUUUAGGAUGACAGUUCAUCUUUUUGGAGCGGUGUCUUUUCCAAACUGUGCUUGUUAUGCCUUGAGACAGACUGCAAAGAACAAUCAAGCAGACUUUCCAGCUGAGGUAACUGACACUAUCAACAAUAACUUUUAUGUAGAUGACUGUCUGAAGAGUGUCUCUUCUGAGGAAGUGGCCAUCUCUAUGGUUACAAAUCUAACUGCUCUCUGUCAAAAGGGAGGUUUCUGUUUAACAAAAUGGAUCAGCAACAGUCGCAAAGUUUUGCAGUCAGUUCCUGAGGAACACCGAGCUAAGGAUAUACAGCAGCUAGAUCUGGAUCGAGAUAAAUUGCCUGUUGAGAGAGCUUUAGGUCUUCAGUGGAGUGUGGAAACCGAUACCUUUCAAUUCAAGACUUCAUUAAAAAAUCAACCAUGCACUAGGAGAGGCAUUUUAUCGGUGAUAAGCUCAGUCUAUGAUCCCUUGGGCUUUCUGGCACCACUUCUUCUGCCUGCUACAGUACUUUUGCAGGAGUUGUGUAGACAGGACUUGGGCUGGGAUGACGCCAUACCAUCGAUCCACCAGAAGAAAUGGAAUCAUUGGAUUCUGGAAUUGGACGGAAUAGCCGGAUUCCAGGUGAACCGAUGUUUUAAACCUUUGGAAUUUGAAUUGCCUUCCCACGCUUGUUUACAUCACUUCGCUGAUGCUUGUGCAGAUGGAUACGGCACAGUUUCAUAUAUUAAAUUCCAGAAUAGUGUAAACCAGGCACACGUGGCUUUCUUGCUGGGCAAGGCUAGAGUAACACCACUGAAACCGGUGACCAUACCUCAUUUGGAACUUACAGCGGCUGUACUUGCUGUUAAGGUUGACAUCAUGCUAAAGAGGGAGCUGCAAACUUCAUUGGAAGAUUCUGUCUUUUGGACUGAUAGCAUGACUGUCCUUAAUUACAUCAAGAAUGAAGACAAACGGUUUCAUACUUUCGUUGCUAACAGGGUGUCCUAUAUAAGAGACACUACACAACCUCAACAGUGGCGAUACGUGCCCACUAAAGAAAAUCCAGCAGAUGAUGCAUCUCGUGGUUUGAAAGCAAAAGAUUUUCUGAGCAAUACCCGAUGGAUUGAUGGUCCCAGUUUUCUCUGGAAGCCAAGUGAUACAUACUUUCCAACAAGUGAUCUGAUAUCGACUGAUGACCCUGAGAUUAAAAGGUUGAAAGUCAAUGCUGUGGUUUUACAGAAUGGACAGAAUGCCACAAGUCAACUUAUUCAUUUUUUCUCAGAAUGGAAACUUUUGAAAGUUGCAGUUGCUUGGUAUUUGAAACUGCAGAAACUUCUGAUGGAGCUGAGACGUAAACGAAAGGAGCUAUCUAUGGAACAGACUGACAGUGUUGCUGUGGAUGUAAGGUUACAGGAGUUUAAAGCAUCUCUGGGCAGACAAAGUUUGAGUGUGGAGGAUCUUUCUAUAGCUGAAAAUGGCAUAAUUCGUUUCUGUCAACAGGAACAAUUCCAAGAGGAAAUUGCUGAGCCCUAA